AAGGAUAUUCACAGCUUUAAUCUUGCUAUGUUAGCAAAGGAGUGUUGGCGACUACUCCAAAAUCGUGAUUCUUUGUGUGCACGAGUUCUGAGGGCAAAAUAUUAUCCCAGUGGAGAUAUUCUGAAAUCUGGCCCCAAAAAAGGUUCUUCGUUCACUUGGCACAGUAUUGUAGCUGGUAUUCAAACUUUUAGAAGGGGAUGCAUAUGGCGUGUGGGUUCUGGUUCACACAUUAACAUUUGGGAUGACCCGUGGAUACCCACUAGUAUGAACAGAAAGCCUAUUACCCCUAGGGGGUAUUAUGCUAACAAAAGUGAAAGAGAUAAUUGACCCCACACAGGACAAUGGGAUGAGGCACUUAUUCACAACGUCUUUUUUUCUGUCGAUGUGCAUAGAAUUCUACAAAUUCCUCUUCAUAUGAAGGCCGUUGAAGAUUUUAUAGCUUGGCAACAUACAAGGACGGGGACCUUUUCCGUGCGUUCGGCAUACCAUGUUGAAUUUGAGCAUCAAUUCGGACAUCACUUGAAUUGGACUAGCCCAAGUAGUGCCUCACUAAAUGGAGUUUGGAAAGAUCUUUGAAAACUGUGACUACCAGGGAAGAUCAAACACUUUGGCUGGAAAGUGUUGAAGGGGGUUCUUCCAUGCUAUGGUGUCCUUGCUAAUAGACAUAUUCCUCUGAUCCCGCAAUGUCCGAUCUGUUCCACCGGAUUAGAAGAUAUACAACAUUGCUUAUUCACUUGUACCGGGGCACGCGCAAUUUGGACGGAGCUAGGACUAUCACAGGAGAUUGAACGGGUGGUUUGCCGGGACCGACCGGGCUCUAUUAAUCUUGACAGACUGAUAUAG
This 843-nucleotide ribosomal RNA is filed under the name Triticum aestivum (bread wheat). RNAcentral describes it as "partial small subunit ribosomal RNA". Lineage: Eukaryota; Viridiplantae; Streptophyta; Magnoliopsida; Poales; Poaceae. The record is from RNAcentral.